UAUCUCUGUAGAGUCUGCAUAUCAAUAAGCGGAGGAAAAGAAACUAACUAGGAUUCCCUUAGUAACGGCGAGUGAAGCGGGAAGAGCUCAAAUUUGAAAUCUUCAAGGUUUUACCUUGACGAAUUGUAGUUUAAAGAAGUGUUUUCUGUUGGAGUUUUCGGUAAAAGUUCUUUGGAAUAGGACAUCAUAGAGGGUGAGAAUCCCGUAUUUGACCAUUAUUUCCAGCUUUGUGAUACACUUUCAAAGAGUCGGAUUGUUUGGGAAUGCAGUCCCAAAAUGGGUGGUAAAUUUCAUCUAAGGCUAAAUAUUGGCGAGAGACCGAUAGCGAACAAGUACCGUGAGGGAAAGAUGAAAAGAACUUUGAAAAGAGAGUUAAACAGUACGUGAAAUUGUCAAAAGGGAAGCGUUUGACACCAGUGUUGUUUUCUCGAAAAUCAAUUAAAAAUGGCUUGAUUUUGUGUUGUAUUGACCUUAAAAGCUUUCUUCACUUUUUUCAUGUCUUUUUUAAUGCACUUUUCGUUUAACAAGUCAACAUCAGUUUCUUUUGUUGUAAAAAGGUCAUUGGAAGGUGGCUUUCUUUUCGGAGAAAGUGUUUAUAGCCUUUGACUUCUGCAAUCGGAGAGACUGAGGUCUGCAGCGUAGAUCCUUCCUGGAUUAGAUUCAUUUGUGCUAAGUUACAACCGUUUAUAGACAACUUGUUGACUAUAUUCGAUCCCUGUUAGCUUACUCGCUUAUGUAAUUUUACCUACGCUUAGGAUGUUGAAGAUGUAGCACAUCAU
This 779-nucleotide ribosomal RNA is filed under the name uncultured Neocallimastigales. RNAcentral describes it as "partial large subunit ribosomal RNA". It matches the Rfam family "Eukaryotic large subunit ribosomal RNA", at positions 24 to 635 of the family's 3401-position model. Lineage: Eukaryota; Fungi; Neocallimastigomycota; Neocallimastigomycetes; Neocallimastigales. The record is from RNAcentral.